GGGGGCCCGCAAGCGGUGGAGCAUGUGGUUUAAUUCGACGCAACGCGAAGAACCUUACCUGGGCUCGAAAUGUACAGGAAUCCGGUGGAAACAUCGGCGCCCAGCAAUGGGCCUGUAUAUAGGUGCUGCAUGGCUGUCGUCAGCUCGUGUCGUGAGAUGUUGGGUUAAGUCCCGCAACGAGCGCAACCCUUACCUCCAGUUGCCAUCAUUUAGUUGGGCACUCUGGCGGAACCGCCUCGGAUAACGGGGAGGAAGGUGGGGAUGACGUCAAGUCCUCAUGGCCUUUAUGUCCAGGGCUACACACGUGCUACAAUGGCCGGUACAAACCGUCGCAAACCCGCGAGGGGGAGCUAAUCGGAAAAAGCCGGCCUCAGUUCGGAUCGCAGUCUGCAACUCGACUGCGUGAAGCUGGAAUCGCUAGUAAUCGCGGAUCAGAAUGCCGCGGUGAAUACGUUCCCGGGCCUUGUACACACC
RNAcentral lists this ribosomal RNA (474 nucleotides) under uncultured bacterium. RNAcentral's name for it is "bacterial SSU rRNA". It matches the Rfam family "Bacterial small subunit ribosomal RNA", at positions 915 to 1391 of the family's 1533-position model. The record is from RNAcentral.